This 249-nucleotide unclassified non-coding RNA is filed under the name uncultured fungus. Its description in RNAcentral is "partial contains 5.8S ribosomal RNA, internal transcribed spacer 2, and large subunit ribosomal RNA". The stretch from base 1 to 52 matches the Rfam family "5.8S ribosomal RNA", at positions 103 to 154 of the family's 154-position model. The record is from RNAcentral. Lineage: Eukaryota; Fungi.
AACGCACAUUGCGCCCUUUGGUAUUCCAAAGGGCAUGCCUGUUCGAGCGUCAUUUGUACCCUCAAGCUUUGCUUGGUGUUGGGCGUCUUGUCUCCCUCCCGAGACUCGCCUUAAAAUCAUUGGCAGCCGGCCUACUGGUUUCGGAGCGCAGCACAUUAUUUGCGCUCUUGUCCAGCCGCGGUCGCGCGUCCAUGAAGCUUCUUUCAACCUUUUGACCUCGGAUCAGGUAGGGAUACCCGCUGAACUUAA